This 253-nucleotide ribosomal RNA is filed under the name uncultured bacterium. RNAcentral's name for it is "partial 16S ribosomal RNA". It matches the Rfam family "Bacterial small subunit ribosomal RNA", at positions 524 to 776 of the family's 1533-position model. The record is from RNAcentral.
UACGUAGGGGGCAAGCGUUGUCCGGAUUUAUUGGGCGUAAAGAGCGUGUAGGCGGCCAGACAGGUCCGUUGUGAAAACUGGAGGCUUAACCUUCAGACGUCGAUGGAAACCGUCGGGCUAGAGUCCGGAAGAGGAGAGUGGAAUUCCUGGUGUAGCGGUGAAAUGCGCAGAUAUCAGGAAGAACACCCGUGGCUAAGGCGGCUCUCUAGUACGGUACUGACGCUGAGACGCGAAAGCGUGGGGAGCGAACAGG